UCCUACGGGAGGCAGCAGUAGGGAAUCUUCCGCAAUGGACGAAAGUCUGACGGAGCAACGCCGCGUGAGUGAUGAAGGCUUUCGGGUCGUAAAACUCUGUUGUUAGGGAAGAACAAGUGCUAGUUGAAUAAGCUGGCACCUUGACAGUACCUAACCAGAAAGCCACGGCUAACUACGUGCCAGCAGCCGCGGUAAUACGUAGGUGGCAAGCGUUAUCCGGAAUUAUUGGGCGUAAAGCGCGCGCAGGUGGUUUCUUAAGUCUGAUGUGAAAGCCCACGGCUCAACCGUGGAGGGUCAUUGGAAACUGGGAGACUUGAGUGCAGAAGAGGAAAGUGGAAUUCCAUGUGUAGCGGUGAAAUGCGUAGAGAUAUGGAGGAACACCAGUGGCGAAGGCGACUUUCUGGUCUGUAACUGACACUGAGGCGCGAAAGCGUGGGGAGCAAACAGGAUUAGAUACCCUGGUAGUCCACGCCGUAAACGAUGAGUGCUAAGUGUUAGAGGGUUUCCGCCCUUUAGUGCUGAAGUUAACGCAUUAAGCACUCCGCCUGGGGAGUACGGCCGCAAGGCUGAAACUCAAAGGAAUUGACGGA
This 590-nucleotide ribosomal RNA is filed under the name uncultured bacterium. RNAcentral describes it as "bacterial SSU rRNA". It matches the Rfam family "Bacterial small subunit ribosomal RNA", at positions 337 to 917 of the family's 1533-position model. The record is from RNAcentral.